This is a long non-coding RNA of Danaus plexippus (monarch butterfly), 579 nucleotides long. RefSeq lists it as uncharacterized. The transcript is spliced from 2 exons. The record is from RefSeq and is a predicted model, not a curated record. Lineage: Eukaryota; Metazoa; Arthropoda; Insecta; Lepidoptera; Nymphalidae.
UUGGGCUAAGCUGUCAAAUGUCAAACAUCGAAAUAAUUAAGAAAAAAAUAUAAACUUUUUUUUACUUUUUUUCCUUCUUCAUAACUCGUAUUUCGGUCAUUAUAUCUAAGGUUUUUUUACUAAUUAAAAUAAUUAACAAAAAUAAAACAAACAUAACCAUACUAUGACUUAAAUAAGUCAUAACUGUCCAAGCUGUUAAUUCAUUUAAAUUCAAUAGUUUUUAAAGUAAAUACUUUACUCUUGACACUUAUAGUUUAAGUUUUAAUUGUAAUGAAAUCUUCGUCUAAAGUUGUCAUGAAUAACAUUCAUAGUGAGAAUCAAAAUAAACGAUAUAGAAAAAAAUACAAUCACAUGAAGCUGAGAGUUAAAAGUUUGAUUAUUGAAAAUGCUGCUUUGUGUGAUGAAGUAGCUAAAAUACAAGAAAAUAUACAGAUAGUUAAAGAAGAAAGAAAAUUUUUGCUCCAGAAACUUCUUGAACACGAGAACGAUUCUGAUAUAGUACAUACUUACUCAAAAGAUUCUAUAGCAGUAUCAAAUGGAUCUAGAAGUAAGCCUAAGAAAAUACAAAAUCUCAAAGAA